This 1033-nucleotide long non-coding RNA is filed under the name Penaeus japonicus. RNAcentral's name for it is "uncharacterized LOC122256811". Lineage: Eukaryota; Metazoa; Arthropoda; Malacostraca; Decapoda; Penaeidae. The record is from RNAcentral.
UCCAUCAACCACCACCCUACCUACCGCAACAAUCAGUCCGGUGACAGUCAUUGAUAAUUUCACCUUCAAGUGCUCCAACAACAACCAGAGACCCGACAAGCCGUGGCCCACGAGGCGCUAUUGCCAGUUCUUCGCCUUGUGCUCGCCGGCCGGACAGUUCUUGGGUGAACUGCAGCUGUGUGACUCCUACUUCACGUGUCUCCUGCAAGAGGACGGGUCAUGGAAAGCUGAGUUGGAGAGCUGCCCUGUAAACGAACUCUUCAGUUACGAGGAAGACAAAUGUGUUCCUCGCCCAUCAGCCGAAUCGUUGUGUGGUUGAAUACAACAGUCACCCGUGUCUUGAAAUGAUGAAUCUCAGUCGCCGUUUUGUAGAGAUGCUCUCAGUCCAUCGCUUGCGGAAGAGGCUGAUAAAACAUUUGUCAUGAUUAUCUAUAUGUAUCUUUGCUGUUUACCAUAUUUGUAAUCAUCUUUUUCUUCGUAUUUUUUUCUACUUCACUCUUUAUUCAUCUGUCUAUUAAGAUAGAUGGUAAAGGAUGUGAUUAGAUUUUAAUGCAGAUCAUAUAUAUGCUGGUACAUAUUAAUCUGUAUCUGUUUUUGUUUACGUUAUUAUAUAUUUAUCUAUUUAUUGUAUGUAGGCAUACACAAUAAUAUACACAUGAAGACACACAUAUACACACACAGAGGUAAACACACACACACAGGUAAACACACACACACACACACACACACACACAUACACACAAAUAUUUCAAAUAUUUGUGUGCAUAUAUAUACAUGAAUAUGUAUGUUUGUGUUUGCGUGUGUAUGUAGUAUACACUUCCAAAUGAAACACAUGUGUUUUCUCAUCUCAAACCAACAAAAGAGUAACGUAUUUAAAAUAUAUCUACUGAAUUUGACUUUGUUUUAUAGGGAUUUACGGUUAUAUACUUACUCCGUCUAUGAAGAUGUAAUGGAUGUUAUUUAUUAUAUUUGCAAUGAAAAUGUUCUUGUACUCGUUGUUACCUGGUAUUUGUUGAAUAUUUAUUGUUCUCAA